AGUCGUGCGAGAAGGGACUUCGGUCCUGAGUAGAGCGGCGCACGGGUGAGUAACGCGUGGGUAAUCUCCCUUGGUGAUCGGGAUAACAGCGGGAAACUGCUGCUAAUACCGGAUAAUCUUCAUGUUUAACUUCAUGGGGUAAAGGUGGCCUCUGCUUGCAAGCUACCACAUCAAGAUGAGCCCGCGUCUCAUUAGCUAGUUGGUAGGGUAAUGGCCUACCAAGGCUACGAUGAGUAGCUGGUCUGAGAGGAUGACCAGCCACACUGGGACUGGAACACGGCCCAGACUCCUACGGGAGGCAGCAGUGGGGAAUAUUGCGCAAUGGGCGAAAGCCUGACGCAGCGACGCCUCGUGAGGGAUGAAGGUCUUCGGAUCGUAAACCUCUGUCAAGAGGGAAGAAACCUUUGGAUUCGAACAGGGUCUAAAGCUGACGGUACCUCUAAAGGAAGCACCGGCUAACUCCGUGCCAGCAGCCGCGGUAAUACGGAGGGUGCAAGCGUUAAUCGGAAUCACUGGGCGUAAAGCGCUCGUAGGCGGUUUGGUCAGUCAGACGUGAAAUCCCGCAGCUUAACUGCGGAACUGCGUUUGAUACUGCCAGACUUGAGUGUCGGAGAGGGUGGCGGAAUUCCGGGUGUAGGAGUGAAAUCCGUAGAUAUCCGGAGGAACACCAGUGGCGA
Molecule: ribosomal RNA, 677 nt
Filed under: uncultured bacterium
Lineage: Bacteria
Description: bacterial SSU rRNA
Rfam family: Bacterial small subunit ribosomal RNA
Source: RNAcentral